Molecule: ribosomal RNA, 328 nt
Filed under: uncultured eukaryote
Lineage: Eukaryota
Description: partial 18S ribosomal RNA
Rfam family: Eukaryotic small subunit ribosomal RNA
Source: RNAcentral
CCCUUAGAUGUCCUGGGCCGCACGCGCGCUACACUGAUGCAUGAAACGAGUUUAUAACCUUGGCCUGAAAGGUCUGGGUAAUCUUUUGAACGUGCAUCGUGAUAGGGAUAGAUUAUUGCAAUUGUUAAUCUUGAACGAGGAAUUCCUAGUAAACGCGAGUCAUCAGCUCGCAUUGAUUACGUCCCUGCCCUUUGUACACACCGCCCGUCGCACCUACCGAUUGAAUGGUUCGGUGAAGAUCUCGGACUUCGAUAUUUAUUCUUUAUUGAGUUUAUAUUGUGGGAAGUUAUCUAAACCUCAUCAUUUAGAGGAAGGUGAAGUCGUAACA